GCAGAUCUGGUCGAUCCUGCCGGACCCGACUGCUAUCAGAGUGAGACUAAGCCAUGCGAGUUAACGUAUGAAUAAUACGUGGCACACGGCUCAGUAACACGUAGUCAACAUGCCCAGAGGACGUGGAUAACCUCGGGAAACUGAGGAUAAACCGCGAUAGGCCAUAAUUACUGGAAUGGGUUAUGGCUUAAACCUAUAUGGCCUCUGGAUUGGACUGCGGCCGAUCAGGCUGUUGGUGAGGUAAUGGCCCACCAAACCUGUUACCGGUACGGGCUCUGAGAGGAGGAGCCCGGAGAUGGGCACUGAGACAAGGGCCCAGGCCCUAUGGGGCGCAGCAGGCGCGAAACCUCUGCAAUAGGCGAAAGCCUGACAGGGUUACUCUGAGUGAUUCCCGCUAAGGGGAUCUUUUGGCACCUCUAAAAAUGGUGCAGAAUAAGGGGUGGGCAAGUCUGGUGUCAGCCGCCGCGGUAAUACCAGCACCCCGAGUGGUCGGGACGAUUAUUGGGCCUAAAGCAUCCGUAGCCGGUCAUGCAAGUCCUCCGUUAAAUCCACCUGCUUAACAGAUGGGCUGCGGAGGAUACUACAAGGCUAGGAGGCGGAAGAGGCAAGCGGUACUCAGUGGGUAGGGGUAAAAUCCUCUGAUCCAUUGAAGACCACCAGUGGCGAAGGCGGCUUGCCAAUACGCGCUCGACGGUGAGGGAUGAAAGCUGGGGGAGCAAACCGGAUUAGAUACCCGGGUAGUCCCAGCUGUAAACGAUGCAGACUCGGUGAUGGGCCGGCUUUAUGCCGGCUCAGUGCCGCAGGGAAGCCGUUAAGUCUGCCGCCUGGGGAGUACGGUCGCAAGACUGAAACUUAAAGGAAUUGGCGGGGGAGCACCACAAGGGUGAAGCCUGCGGUUCAAUUGGAUCC
Molecule: ribosomal RNA, 909 nt
Filed under: uncultured archaeon
Lineage: Archaea
Description: bacterial SSU rRNA
Rfam family: Archaeal small subunit ribosomal RNA
Source: RNAcentral